UACGUAGGGUGCAAGCGUUGUCCGGAAUCAUUGGGCGUAAAGCGCGUGUAGGCGGUUCGGUAAGUCUGCUGUGAAAGUCCAGGGCUCAACCCUGGGAUGCCGGUGGAUACUGUCGGACUAGAGUACGGAAGAGGCGAGUGGAAUUCCCGGUGUAGCGGUGAAAUGCGCAGAUAUCAGGAAGAACACCCGUGGCGAAGGCGGCUCUCUGGGACGGUACUGACGCUGAGACGCGAAAGCGUGGGGAGCGAACAGG
RNAcentral lists this ribosomal RNA (253 nucleotides) under uncultured bacterium. RNAcentral's name for it is "partial 16S ribosomal RNA". It matches the Rfam family "Bacterial small subunit ribosomal RNA", at positions 524 to 776 of the family's 1533-position model. The record is from RNAcentral.